Long non-coding RNA from Oncorhynchus nerka (sockeye salmon), 1298 nucleotides. RefSeq lists it as uncharacterized. NCBI's taxonomy places the organism in Eukaryota, Metazoa, Chordata, Actinopteri, Salmoniformes, Salmonidae. The transcript has 2 exons. The record is from RefSeq and is a predicted model, not a curated record.
GCCUUCCCAAUACUACGCUUCUUCCGGUAAGCACGGGGAGUUGGCUCAGGUCUAUCGCCUGACUCCGCCAAUCUCGCUGUGUUCCCCCAAAAAAGUUUUGGGGUCUGCCUCUCGUGCCUGUUGCGCUGCCUUACCUCAUAUCGCCACCGCUCAGCUUUCACUGCCUCCAGUUCUUCCUUGGGGCGGCGAUAUUCCCCAGCCUGUGCCCAGGGUCCCUUACCGUCUAGUAUCUCCUCCCAAGUCCAGGAGUCCAGAACCCUCUGCUCCUUGUUACCACGCUGCUUGGUCCUUUUUUUGGUGGGUAGUUCUGUAACGAUCUUCUUCAUCUGAUGAGGAGUAUGAAAGAUCGGACCAAAACGCAGCGUGACUGCAGUGCCCCUUCAUGUCAACCUGGAGAUGCUGCAAUCUCAACCAGAAGCCCGCCUGUGGGUCUCAAAUCCUCUGCACCCAUUUUUUUCUAAACUUUCUGAGCGGAAAUCGUAACAUUGGUUAUUCCAAAACUUUGAAUGUGAUAAUUCGUAUUAGGCUUCAGAUUUGGUCAUCCGAUAUGACUUGUAAAGACCAUUUUUAUAAUUGAGAUAACAUUACAGAAAUGCAAAAGCCCAGAAUAAGACUGAGCAGGAAAGCCAUGGUAUGAAGGAAUCUCCUGAAAUCAACUCCCCUUCAGGGCCAGGUUUUUUAAAAGGUUUAAACUGGAUAAGAAUGAUCCGGAUUCUGUAAUCCCCUGUUUUGCAAUAGAUUACGUUAAAUUGACUGCUGUUUAGGUACAAUAUGUAGUCAAUUGUUAUAUUGAGAAGUGUCAAAUAUAUCUACUUUCUUACAAGUGAUUACAUACAUUUACAUUUAAGUCAUUUAGCAGACGCUCUUAUCCAGAGCGACUUACAAAUUGGAUUAGCAGGCUCUAUUAUUUUAUUUGAUUUUAGUUACCUUUAUUCAUGUAGUUUACUCAUCUCUGUUUCUGUCACGACUUCUGCCGAAGUCAUUGCCUCUCCUUGUUCGGGCGGUGCUCGGCGUUCGACGUCACCGGUCUUCUAGCCAUCAUUGAUCCUUUUUUCAUUUUCCAUUGGUUUUGUCUUGUCUUCCCACACACCUGUUUUCAAUCCCAUUCAUUACCCUGUUGUGUAUUUAACCCUCUGUUUCCCCUCAUGUCUUUGUCAGAGAUUGUUUUAUUUGUCAGUGUAGUGUGAUUGUUGUAUAGGUGCGCGUCGGGUCCUCGUACCCAUGUUUGUGUGUUUAUGUACAUUUAGUGUUAUGGAGCAUACUCCGUGGACUUUAUUAAAAGACUCCAUUUUACACUC